Molecule: ribosomal RNA, 467 nt
Filed under: uncultured bacterium
Lineage: Bacteria
Description: partial 16S ribosomal RNA
Rfam family: Bacterial small subunit ribosomal RNA
Source: RNAcentral
GACGAACGCUGGCGGCGUGCUUAACACAUGCAAGUCGAACGGAAAGGCCCUGCUUUUGUGGGGUGCUCGAGUGGCGAACGGGUGAGUAACACGUGAGUAACCUGCCCUUGACUUUGGGAUAACUUCAGGAAACUGGGGCUAAUACCGGAUAGGAGCUCCUGCUGCAUGGUGGGGGUCGGAAAGUUUCGGCGGUUGGGGAUGGACUCGCGGCUUAUCAGCUUGUUGGUGGGGUAGUGGCUUACCAAGGCUUUGACGGGUAGCCGGCCUGAGAGGGUGACCGGCCACAUUGGGACUGAGAUACGGCCCAGACUCCUACGGGAGGCAGCAGUGGGGAAUAUUGCACAAUGGGCGGAAGCCGGAUGCAGCAACGCCGCGUGCGGGAUGACGGCCUUCGGGUUGUAAACCGCUUUCGCCUGUGACGAAGCGUGAGUGACGGUAAUGGGUAAAGAAGCACCGGCUAACUACGC